RNAcentral lists this ribosomal RNA (254 nucleotides) under uncultured bacterium. RNAcentral describes it as "partial 16S ribosomal RNA". It matches the Rfam family "Bacterial small subunit ribosomal RNA", at positions 524 to 776 of the family's 1533-position model. The record is from RNAcentral.
UACGUAGGGUGCGAGCGUUAAUCGGAAUUACUGGGCGUAAAGGGCGCGUAGGCGGCCUUCUAAGUCGAACGUGAAAUCCCCGGGCUCAACCCGGGAACUGCGUCCGAUACUGGAAGGCUUGAAUCCGGGAGAGGGAUGCGGAAUUCCAGGUGUAGCGGUGAAAUGCGUAGAUAUCUGGAGGAACACCGGUGGCGAAGGCGGCAUCCUGGACCGGCAUUGACGCUGAGGCGCGGAAAGCGUGGGGAGCAAACAGG